UGUAUGAAAUCCUGAGCACCCUGA
RNAcentral lists this non-coding RNA (24 nucleotides) under Mus musculus (house mouse). The record is from RNAcentral. Lineage: Eukaryota; Metazoa; Chordata; Mammalia; Rodentia; Muridae.